GGCGCUGAUACCGAUAAGAGUCAACAGAUGUCGCUGCGAAAUAGCCAAUGCUAAUAUUAAGCUAGGUUUAAUACACGUAUAAACACAGACAGACGUACUGUAAUGUACUACACCAGUUGUGUCACACAUGAAGACAGACAGAGGAAGACUUUCAUCAGCCUCCACUAGAGGCAGACCGGAGAUGCUCUCUGUUCCUCUGAUCUGUACGCAUCUCUGUCUCACACACACAGGUCAGUGAACGCCUCGAUAGCUUCGUAAACAAGCAGAUAUUAUCGCUCAGGCUCAGCAUAGUAGAUAUUAUACUGAUUAUAAAGGGCUUGAGGACGGAUUCUGACCAACUAAUGAACCUAAUCGCCUAAAUUGAGAGAAAUUCCGUAGUAUCACAAGCAGAAAAACACUAGAUUGCAGUAUGAGAAACAGGAGCUCAGGUGACUCACAAACCCGUGAUGUGACUCAUUUGUUACUUUCUGGAUCAAGAUCUGCAAGGGAACAUCCUGAAUUUAGUGUCACCGUCGUCCUUUCCUGUCCUGCCCUGUUCACCCUCCUUGAUAUUCGCCUGGCACUUUGUCCUGGCGUGAAGGAGUUGGUCCCAUGAGGUCAUGCUGCUUCUAAGGAGCUGUGCUUGGUCUGCGACACGUCUCAGGUAGAUAGCAACAUGUCAUGGCUUGGCGUCCUCCCAUUACUCACUCUGGUGCUAUAUCUUUCCCAGAGUGACAAUACUAAGACAAAUGCGAGCUCGUGGUGUGAGCUAAGAUGUGAUUCAUUCCUCCAAGCCUUCGUCUUCUGUGGCUCCGAUGUGACUCUGUUGUAGUUGUGUUGCUUGUGCGUACCUAAUGCACUUUUUGGAGGCGGACGUGGGUCAACGUGUGUCCCCCCACUCGCCUGUCGUGAAGUAAUCUGUCGUUUGUUAUGUUCUAAAUCAUAUCAGUCAAAGCUUGACCAAAAGCUGUACUCAUGAACCAGGAUGACCUGUGACCUCUUCAUACAGUACGUCUCCAUUGUCACAUUUUCAUAAAUAUCCACAAUUAUGUUUUACAAAUACUACUGUAAUUUGUUUAUUUCAGCUGUCAGUGGUUCUACCGUUGCGGCUUCUAACUUUUGAAUACGCUUUAACACUGCAGUGGAUUUAUCCUCUAACAGAGCUUGGUAGUACACAUGAUAAUUAGAUUACUGUAAUCUAAUUAUGCAUAACACAGCGCUCCACACCCUCCUAAUAGGAAGGAUUCUUAUAAAUUCACCUCGUCUCAGCAGCAGAUUUCUCAUUCGCACGCGGGGCCGGGCGCACAUCGCACACAAGGUUCCCGCUGUCGUGUUGUGAUGCCUGCGUCUCCCUUUCAAUCGCGCCAUCCAUCUGUGCUCUUCACUUUCUGACUUUGUCUCUCCUCUGAGUGCGUCUCAGCCAUAUUGUGGUUUGAAAGGUUUCUGCUUCUAAUGAGCCAAUUGUUCUCGUGUUCCGUUCCCCUCGGGGAGCGUUGUGCAGCUAACAACAUUCUGCUCGAAAUCAUUUUAAAACAUAUUCACUGCGCCAGGGAGGGAUGGAGGCCAACAAAACAACAAUGCCUUGGAGCACGUACAAAAUGAAAAAUGUGUUAAUGACAGUCUAGCUCGCAAAGUGACAGCGCAUUCUUUUCCUGUCAAUUAGACCUUGGUUAUUCAAAAGCAAUUUGCAACUCCCUGCAGAGUGAAAUGUGUGCCAUCUCCCAGGCCUUGCUCUGUGAUUGUGUAAGUGAUAUAUUCAUUCCAUUCCUGUGUGUGUGUGUCCUAGUUCGAGACGCAGAAGUGAUAUCAAGGUUAGUAACAAGCUAUUGUGAGAUGAGGCCGUGGUGCUUUAUCCAGGCAGCAUCUUCCCAUGCAAACAGAAAGGUGUAGGUCUAUUUUGGUGCAUUUGUGUGUGUGGGGGGGUGGGUGUGGGGGUGUGCACACGCACCCUUGUGGCCAGCGUUUACAAGGGGUAUUGAUACAGCUGGCAUUCAUGGCCCUGAUUAAUUGCCAUGGCAUUUGGCCGUUCUUUGUAAAUGCCACAUCCCAUGCUGAGCGCUCGCUGAAUGGAUGUCUGCCCGUUGCACCUACCCUUUCGUCCUUUUCCCUCUCCUCUCCUUCCCUUUCUUCCUCGGCCCCCUUCCCCACUUCCUCCUACGCCUCAUGAAAGGUUAGCUGCACUUUAUCGGCUCCUAACUGAUCCCACGCCGCACACAUGCGCGGCCCCUCCACAGUUUUGUCCAUUGCGGGGUUUUUUCUCUCUCCGUGUCCGACAGCACCGGUUCAAAGGUAUCUUAAGGUAACAUCCUCUGCGUUUGUGUCUUUAAUCUACAGUAAACGUGUUAUGAUUAGCGCGGGUGAAAAAGCCCUUCCUUCCUUGUGUGUAUCCCCCAAAGACCCAACUUCAGCUUGGCUCAAUACCUUCAAGAAAAAAAGAUAUGAAGAAUUAGCUUUCAUCCUCAAGUGAAUUAGUUUGCUCUAUCUUAAUGAGGUUUGCCAUGUCAGAGGGAACAGUUCAGGCCCUGCAUGCUAAACAGACUGAAAUUGGAAUAUAGUGUUAGCUCCCUAACUGCAAAAAUACCUUCUCUCCAGCUCUGAUGCCAACAAUGCCACGCAAUUACCCCUCACACACAAGUUUAUCUUGUCAUUCCCAAAUGGGGAUGGAAGACCAAGCGGAGGAGAAGUCGUCUUAUUUCUUUGUUUUUGGAAAACUAAUUCCGAAAUCUAAUUAACUGAAGAAGAAACAUGUCGCCACUUUGGUUGCAAACAUCGAACAUAGUUAUGCAAAUGACCCCAAAGAUUGCAGAAUGUGAUUUGACAGCAUCUCAUUCUGGAUGGUGCGGGGCCAGAUACAAAGAUUACUCAGCCGUGUCUGAGUGGAGGCAAACAGAAUGUGAUGAGCCUGGUAAUUCAUUGUGCUGCUAUUUCUCCCGUUUGACUACAGACGGCUCAUUAAGGGGCAAGGUGUCACCCGGGCCGGACAGAUAGGCAGACGGGACCAUUUUUCUAAUAGGCCGCUCUCUGCUCUGUCUGCAUCAGCUUUUUCUUCCUGCUUUUUGCGUUGCUGGCAUAAUCUAGCUUUUCUUAUACGAGGUGCCAAAUAGGAUUUAACACAAUUCAUCAUUUUGCUCCACCGAGGGGUGAGGGAGAUGCUAUUUCAUCUUCCCCCUUGUCUUGAGUUUGCUUACAGGGGUUAUACCAGGGCAGCCGUGCAGAGAUGGCCAGAGGGCUGCAAUAAGCACCAGGGGUCUGACUUUCAUUCUCACAGGUAUUAAACACACCUAUUUUACCUAACUAAAUAUAACGCCAGCUCACCACAGCCUCCCUACGACUGACAAACGCAGAACACAAUGAAAAUGCGCCCUUGCGGCACUGACCUUUCUGUUUGAUUUCAUUCGGUCCCAUUCUCGUCACAGCCUCUCAGCUCCUGAUUACAUGCCAGCAUUUGUUUGCAGAGAGCCAAACAAAAAAGACGAAGGCACAAACAAGUAAUUAAUUAUUGAGGACGCCAAACCUGACCGCUUGCUAAUCUACAUAGGCGUUUAAAGCCCCUUAAUUUAUAAUUCAGGUCCUUGUCUCACUCCACUCGAAGCUGGGAUUGGGAGGCUGUGUGCACUUCACUAAGGUGUGUCUGUACAGAAGGUCCUGCUUUGACUCUUAUACUGGAACGCUUGUGGUGAAUAAUAAUAAUAGAUAGACCAAAGGUUGUGCGUGUACCCCAAGGAAGUGUAUGCAAAUGUAUAUUAUGUUGUAUUUAUCCAUAUUAUAAUUAUAAGGCACUCUGGGGUUUGACAAACCGACAAGUGUGGCAGAUAUACUGAGUCUCUGUGCUUUCGAAAUGGAGAAUCACAUGGUGUGAAGUGAGUUUCGGCUAAUUAGCCUGAGAUGUGAGGCUGGCUCUCGCCCUGCCUGGGUUGUGUUCCUCAGGACUCCAGACAGCGAUGGAGAAGGAUGCUCUUUGAUCUGUGGAUCCCACAGUCUGAUAACAUUUCUACAACCUUUGCAGUGUGCGUGCUUGUAGUGCAUACGACUCAUCCAGGCAGUUCAAACCCAGCUGACUUUUUACAUUUAUGCCUUUUCCGCUCGACAGACAGUAUAACUGCAUUUCAGUCUGGUUGCAGAUCCUUCAGCGCAGAUAAGAUUUGUCAUAAAAUGUCACAUUCAACUUUUGAUUUAAUCCAACCUUUUUAUAUAUAUAUAAAAAUAAACAGAACAAAGCACAACUUUAAAGGGACUGGGAUUUAUUUCCGCAGUAAUUACACAAAUCAUAAAUGUAUCACCGGUUUAGAAUUUCCGUUUAUUCAUUUACCUGCUUUUAAAAUCAAGGCAGUUGUCAUUUAAAUCAAAGUGAUUUUUCAUUCCAGUGAAAGAUCUGUUCCUUCCAGAGCACUCCUCCCUCUGCCAGCUGAAGAUCAAACAACAUGCUCAAAAACUUCAUAAUGGAAAAGGCCAUUGAUUUUUCUCUCUGUUGAUUUUUCUUGGACUGUAUCACACACAUUCUAGAUAAUAUUCUGGCAAUUAAAAUGUUUCCAAACAGAGCUUCUCUUUCUCUGCGGCUCCAUUUCAAAUCUGUAAGCAUUGAUAGGAGUAGGAAGCAUCAUCCAUUUGAUCGACCUAUUUAAAGCAUGGAAUGAGUCGGUGAUCCCAGAAUUCUUUCAAGCAUUGAACAACAUUUAUUC
This is a long non-coding RNA of Betta splendens (Siamese fighting fish), 4658 nucleotides long. RefSeq lists it as uncharacterized. The record is from RefSeq and is a predicted model, not a curated record. The transcript has 4 exons. NCBI's taxonomy places the organism in Eukaryota, Metazoa, Chordata, Actinopteri, Anabantiformes, Osphronemidae.